GUUAACUAAUAAAUUCACCUGUUGAGACACGAUGUCUUACUGUUUGUUUACAAGACUCAAAGAGAUUUUGUGUGAUUAAUAACAAAUGUAUUAUUUGUGCUUUGCCAUUUGAAGGAAGCACUACUCAAAUAGAGGUGAGAUUUUCUAUAAUUGAGGUUUUAAUAUUAAAAACACAGCAUAUCCUGUGAAACCUGAGCAAUUGUGAGAGGCAGUCCCAAAGCAUUGACUAUAAUAUGGAGUGAAGCUGAAUGUCAGUGAUUGUACCUGACAGCAUCUAAGUUUCCUCUUUUCUUCCCAUCACACUCUGAUGCUGGAGCAAUUUUGAUUUUUUUUAUUGUUGCAUUAUAAUUGGACAUAAUAGUGGACUGUUGUUACAUAUUCAUCUGUGUACAUAACAUACUUUUGUUAGUUUUAUUCUCCAUUUCUCCCCUUUCCUUUCCCUCCUCCCUUCACCUGGCUUCCUUCCUCUCCUCCAGUGGUCUCCCUUCUGUUUUCAGUCAUAUUGUUUUUAAGCUAUCAAAAUCAAAAAACAGGAUUUGUGCUUCUCAGUCAGAACAGAAAUGGGUAGCAACCUAAGGAAAUAGAUUUAGGCCCUAAAAGCUGGCCAAGUGGGACCUAGGAAUAAAGUCCUGGUUUUGUGUUAUACCGUUCUUUCAACAGAAAUGUAUUUUAAAAAUUGGAAAAUGACCUUAUAAUUGUUGUGGAUCAAAGAUAACAUUUAGAAAUAUUAGUGGUGCUUUCUCUAGAAAUUGUUUUACUCAAUAACUAGACCUAAUGCAAAAAUAAUAUCAUGAAGGAAUCUACCCUCUUUAUCAAUAUCCUAUCCCCAUUGAAAUCCUGGGAGAGACGGAGGGGAGUCAGUUUGCCUACAGACAGUAUAAGCCAGAGUAGUUUAUAAUGUGCUCUUUUUUUAAA
RNAcentral lists this long non-coding RNA (915 nucleotides) under Marmota monax (woodchuck). Lineage: Eukaryota; Metazoa; Chordata; Mammalia; Rodentia; Sciuridae. The record is from RNAcentral.